GACGAACGCUGGCGGCGUGCCUAAUACAUGCAAGUCGAACGAUGACGGCGGAGCUUGCUUCUCUGGAUGAGUUACGGACGGGUGAGUAGCCCGUAGGUUACCUACCUGUUAGCGGGGGGUGACUAUUUGCCACGAUAGCUCAUACCGCAUAAGAGUAAUUGUUGCAUGAUAUUUGCUUGAAAGGUUCGAUUGCAUCACUACUAGAUGGCCCUGCGUUCUAUUAGCUAGGUCGGGGGGUAACGGCUGAUCAAGGCCACGAUGCCUAGCAGACCACAGAGGGUGAUCGGCCACGCUGGGACGGAGACACGGCCCAGAACCCUACGGGUGGCAGCAGGAGGGGAUCCUCAGCGAAGGACGGAAGGCUGACCAUGCAACGCCGCGUGAGUGAAGAAGGCUGUCGGAUCGUGUAGCUCUGGUGUAAGAGAAGAACGAAUGUCACAGUUGAAAGGGAACACAGUGACGGUAUCGUACCAGAAAGCGACGGCUAACUACGUG
Molecule: ribosomal RNA, 495 nt
Filed under: uncultured bacterium
Lineage: Bacteria
Description: partial 16S ribosomal RNA
Rfam family: Bacterial small subunit ribosomal RNA
Source: RNAcentral